UAACAAGGAUUCCCCUAGUAACUGCGAGUGAAGCGGGAAAAGCUCAAAUUUAAAAUCUGGCGGUCUUUGGCCGUCCGAGUUGUAGUCUGGAGAAGUGCUUUCCGCGCUGGACCGUGUACAAGUCUCUUGGAACAGAGCGUCAUAGAGGGUGAGAAUCCCGUCUUUGACACGGACUACCAGUGCUUUGUGAUGCGCUCUCAAAGAGUCGAGUUGUUUGGGAAUGCAGCUCAAAAUGGGUGGUAAAUUCCAUCUAAAGCUAAAUAUUGGCGAGAGACCGAUAGCGAACAAGUACCGUGAGGGAAAGAUGAAAAGCACUUUGGAAAGAGAGUUAAACAGUACGUGAAAUUGCUGAAAGGGAAACGCUUGAAGUCAGUCGCGUUGGCCAGGACUCAGCCUUGCUUUUCGCUUGGUGCAUUUUCUGGUUGACGGGCCAGCAUCGAUUUUGACCACUGGAAAAAGGCUAGGGGAAUGUGGCACCUUCGGGUGUGUUAUAGCCCUUAGUCACAUACAGUGGUUGGGAUCGAGGACCGCAGCACGCCUUUAUGGCCGGGGUUCGCCCACGUUCGUGCUUAGGAUGCUGGCGU
RNAcentral lists this ribosomal RNA (584 nucleotides) under Fomitopsis palustris. RNAcentral describes it as "partial large subunit ribosomal RNA". It matches the Rfam family "Eukaryotic large subunit ribosomal RNA", at positions 66 to 632 of the family's 3401-position model. The record is from RNAcentral. Lineage: Eukaryota; Fungi; Basidiomycota; Agaricomycetes; Polyporales; Fomitopsidaceae.